This is an RNA transcript of Zea mays, 1543 nucleotides long. It is a transcript of the gene named SBP-transcription factor 29, with no coding region annotated. The transcript is spliced from 2 exons. The record is from RefSeq and is marked validated. Lineage: Eukaryota; Viridiplantae; Streptophyta; Magnoliopsida; Poales; Poaceae.
ACUUCCUCCAAUCUCCCACUCAUUACUCAGCUUAGGAAGGUCCAGGGCCUCCAGCUCCGAUCCACCACGCUACGCUAGCUCUAUGCCGGACUCCUCCUCCUCCGCCGGCACAGGCGGCAUGGCCCCCUCGAGCUCGGCGGCGGCGUCCAUUGCCGCGCUCGCGGCCGCCGCGGCGUCCGGCGACGGCUCGGACGACUCCGGGGCGGCCAACAACAACGGCGCGCUGCCGCUGCCGCUGCCGCCGCCGCACGGGGUGGAGGACAACAACAGUCCCGCGGAGCUGGCGGGCGCGGGUGGCACCUCCCGGGCGGUGGCGAGGAGGGUCGCGGCGGCCGGCGCCUCCCCGGCGGCGGCGGCGAGGAGGGGCGCCGCCGUGAACGCCCAGGCGGCCGGCGGCGCCGGGCCGAGCUGCCAGGUGGAGCGGUGCAGCGCCGACAUGGGCGUGGAGAAGCGGUACAACCGGAGGCACAAGGUGUGCGACGCGCACCGCAAGGCGUCCGUCGUCCUCCUCGCCGGCCUCCGCCAGCGCUUCUGCCAGCAAUGCAGCCGGUAAGCCCCGCCUGCCUGCUUGCUCGGAGGCACAUGCACAUGGGCGCAGUGCAGUGUGCAGUCCGGCCGGCGUGCGUGACUCGUACGUGAGUGAGUUCGUGACAUGCUCAAAGGCACCGCCCGCUUUCAGUUCGUACGGCUACUACUACUACUAAACUAAACGAGCUUAAUUCGACCUUGAGAAAGCUUGCAGCUUUUUUUCUUGGGUCAUGGAUAGCACGGUGAGCUGCUGGAUUGGAUCCUAAGCUAGCUAGGUUGCUCUCUCAACUCAAGAUCUUGCAGAAGCGUCUCUCAGUCUCAUGCAACCUCUUUGGAGGUUCCACGAGCUGUCGCACUUCGACGACACCAAGCGCAGCUGCCGCCUGCGCCUGGCGGGGCACAACGAGCGGCGCCGGAGGAACCCCGCGGAGGCGCAGGACCAGCACGGCGGGCGGGGCGACCCGGGGAGCCACCACCUCCAGAUCAGAUAAAAACCUACUACGUCAGCAUGCUCUCUCUCUUCUGUCAUGCAGGACGCACGCACCUAGCGUCGUCACCGAUCCAUAGUCCGAUAUGUGUCUCAAGUGUUGUGUGUGCGCGCUCUCGCCGCCUACCCCUGUCCUGCAGUGUUGCGUAGUAUAUGGUUCUACGACCUACACGUACUGCUGCUACUACUGCGUGCUAACUUUAAUCUGAUGGCAGUCCACAGCUAGCUAGCACAUCACCUCCUGUAAGUAAUGUGCUUAUCUAUAUGUGCACCGACCGGAACCGGAGGCGUGCGUACGCUGAUCUGCCACGAAGCCUACUAGUAGUUAAAUGUAACGUAACCUGCAGGCAAUUAAGCAGGGCGCUGCUAUAUAUAGCGUAAUUAAUUGUGCGUAUGGGUAUGGUGGUUCGAUUAUCGGAUGUGUAAUCCCUGUACGUGGCCGGGCCCGUGCCAAACGUACGGUGACCUGUGCAGGCUCUGUGUGUCGAUGAUGUUGUACUCUGAUAAUGAUAUAAUCCAUUGUGGUAA